UACAGAGGGUGCAAACGUUGUUCGGAAUUACUGGGCGUAAAGCGCGUGUAGGCUGUCUCGAAAGUCGGAUGUGAAAGCCCUGGGCUCAACCUAGGAAGUGCAUUCGAAACUUCGAGACUCGAGUCCUGGAGAGGAUCGCGGAAUUCUCGGUGUAGAGGUGAAAUUCGUAGAUAUCGAGAGGAACACCGGUGGCGAAGGCGGCGAUCUGGACAGUGACUGACGCUGAGACGCGAAAGCGUGGGGAGCAAACAGG
This 253-nucleotide ribosomal RNA is filed under the name uncultured bacterium. RNAcentral describes it as "partial 16S ribosomal RNA". It matches the Rfam family "Bacterial small subunit ribosomal RNA", at positions 524 to 776 of the family's 1533-position model. The record is from RNAcentral.